Small nuclear RNA from Otolemur garnettii (small-eared galago), 105 nucleotides. The record is from Ensembl. Lineage: Eukaryota; Metazoa; Chordata; Mammalia; Primates; Galagidae.
UGCUUGUUUGGGCAGCACUAUAUUAAAAUUGGAACAGUACAGAGAAGAUUGGCAUGGCCCCUGUGCAAGGAAGACAUGCAAAUUCAUGAAGUGUUCCAUAUUUUU